GAAAACCUACGGGGGGCAGCAGUAGGGAAUAUUGCUCAAUUGGGGAAACCCUGAAGCAGCAACGCCGCGUGGAGGAUGAAGGUUUUCGGAUUGUAAACUCCUUUUGUUAGAGAAGAUAAUGACGGUAUCUAACGAAUAAGCACCGGCUAACUCCGUGCCAGCAGCCGCGGUAAUACGGAGGGUGCAAGCGUUACUCGGAAUCACUGGGCGUAAAGGGCGCGUAGGCGGGAUAGCAAGUCAGAUGUGAAAUCCUAUGGCUUAACCAUAGAACUGCAUUUGAAACUGUUAUUCUAGAGUAUGGUAUU
This 305-nucleotide ribosomal RNA is filed under the name uncultured bacterium. RNAcentral's name for it is "bacterial SSU rRNA". It matches the Rfam family "Bacterial small subunit ribosomal RNA", at positions 333 to 655 of the family's 1533-position model. The record is from RNAcentral.